Molecule: ribosomal RNA, 253 nt
Filed under: uncultured bacterium
Lineage: Bacteria
Description: partial 16S ribosomal RNA
Rfam family: Bacterial small subunit ribosomal RNA
Source: RNAcentral
UACGGGGGGGGCAAGCGUUGUUCGGAAUUACUGGGCGUAAAGGGCUCGUAGGCGGCCAACUAAGUCAGACGUGAAAUCCCUCGGCUUAACCGGGGAACUGCGUCUGAUACUGGUUGGCUUGAGUGCAGGAGAGGAAUGCGGAAUUCCAGGUGUAGCGGUGAAAUGCGUAGAUAUCUGGAGGAACACCGGUGGCGAAGGCGGCUCACUGGCCCGGUACUGACGCUGAGGCGCGAAAGCGUGGGGAGCAAACAGG